CCUACGGGAGGCAGCAGUGAGGAAUAUUGGUCAAUGGGCUUACGCCUGAACCAGCCAAGUCGCGUGAGGGAAGACUGCCCUAUGGGUUGUAAACCUCUUUUGUCAGGGAGCAACGCCGGCUACGUGUAGCCGGACUGAGAGUACCUGAAGAAAAAGCAUCGGCUAACUCCGUGCCAGCAGCCGCGGUAAUACGGAGGAUGCGAGCGUUAUCCGGAUUGAUUGGGUUUAAAGGUUGCGUAGGCGGAAUGCCAAGUCAGCGGUAAAAUCGCGGGGCUCAACCUCGCUCCGCCGUUGAAACUGGCGUUCUUGAGUGGGCGAGAAGUAUGCGGAAUGCGUGGGGUAGCGGUGAAAUGCAUAGAUAUCACGCAGAACUCCGAUUGCGAAGGCAGCAUACCGGCGCCCAACUGACGCUGAAGCACGAAAGCGUGGGUAUCGAACAGGAUUAGAUACCCCGGUAGUC
RNAcentral lists this ribosomal RNA (460 nucleotides) under uncultured bacterium. RNAcentral's name for it is "partial 16S ribosomal RNA". It matches the Rfam family "Bacterial small subunit ribosomal RNA", at positions 338 to 795 of the family's 1533-position model. The record is from RNAcentral.